This 466-nucleotide ribosomal RNA is filed under the name uncultured Planctomycetota bacterium. Its description in RNAcentral is "bacterial SSU rRNA". It matches the Rfam family "Bacterial small subunit ribosomal RNA", at positions 372 to 829 of the family's 1533-position model. Lineage: Bacteria; Pseudomonadati; Planctomycetota. The record is from RNAcentral.
UGCCCGAAGGGUGACGAUGCGACGCCGCGUGAGCGAAGAAGGCCCUAGGGUUGUAAAGCUCUGUCAGGGGUUAAGAAAUGUAGAUAGGUUAAUACCCUGUUUAUUUGACAAAAGCCCCAAAGGAAGUCACGGCUAACUCUGUGCCAGCAGCCGCGGUAAUACAGAGGUGGCAAGCGUUGUUCGGUAUUAUUGGGCGUAAAGAGCACGUAGGUGGUUUUAUAAGUCAGAUGUGAAAGCCUUCUGUUCAAAGGAAGAACGGCAUCUGAAACUGCAAAUCUUGAGUGUAGGAGGGGAGGGUGGAACUUCUGGUGGAGCGGUGAAAUGCGUAGAUACCAGAAGGAACGUCGGCGGCGAAAGCGACUCUCUGGCCUAUUACUGACACUGAGUGUGCGAAAGUUAGGGGAGCAAACGGGAUUAGAUACCCCGGUAGUCCUAACCGUAAACGAUGGGCACUAAGUAGAGGGGU